This 466-nucleotide ribosomal RNA is filed under the name uncultured bacterium. RNAcentral describes it as "partial 16S ribosomal RNA". It matches the Rfam family "Bacterial small subunit ribosomal RNA", at positions 28 to 507 of the family's 1533-position model. The record is from RNAcentral.
GAUGAACGCUGGCGGCGUGCUUAACACAUGCAAGUCGAACGAUGAAGCCCAGCUUGCUGGGUGGAUUAGUGGCGAACGGGUGAGUAACACGUGAGUAACCUGCCCUUAACUCUGGGAUAAGCCUGGGAAACUGGGUCUAAUACCGGAUAGGAGCGUCCACCGCAUGGUGGGUGUUGGAAAGAUUUAUCGGUUUUGGAUGGACGCGCGGCCUAUCAGCUUGUUGGUGAGGUAAUGGCUCACCAAGGCGACGACGGGUAGCCGGCCUGAGAGGGUGACCGGCCACACUGGGACUGAGACACGGCCCAGACUCCUACGGGAGGCAGCAGUGGGGAAUAUUGCACAAUGGGCGCAAGCCUGAUGCAGCGACGCCGCGUGAGGGAUGACGGCCUUCGGGGGGUAAACCUCUGUCAGUAGGGAAGAAGCGAAAGUGACGGUACCUGCAGAAGAAGCACCGGCUAACUACGUG